GUGGAUGAGGCAUGCAAGUCGAACGCAGUUGAGUAGCAAUACUCAAUUGAGUGGCGGAAGGGUUAGUAAUACAUGGGUAACCUGCCUUUAACCUGGGGAUAACAGUUGGAAACGACUGCUAAUACCGAAUGAGGUGCAUUAGGAGAUCCUGGAUGCAUCAAAGUGGGGGAUCGCAAGACCUUGCGGUUGAAGAGGGGCUCAUGGGAUAUCAGCUAGUUGGAGUGGUAACGGCACACCAAGGCUAAGACGUCUAGGCGAUUGAGAGAUUG
RNAcentral lists this ribosomal RNA (269 nucleotides) under uncultured Chlamydiales bacterium. Its description in RNAcentral is "partial 16S ribosomal RNA". It matches the Rfam family "Bacterial small subunit ribosomal RNA", at positions 44 to 302 of the family's 1533-position model. The record is from RNAcentral. Lineage: Bacteria; Pseudomonadati; Chlamydiota; Chlamydiia; Chlamydiales.